This 8403-nucleotide long non-coding RNA is filed under the name Marmota monax (woodchuck). Lineage: Eukaryota; Metazoa; Chordata; Mammalia; Rodentia; Sciuridae. The record is from RNAcentral.
UUCUUUUCGUUUUCUGGCUGAUUAAACCAAACAAGGAGUUUAUCAACAAGCUCUUGGGGGUCACAAAAUUGUAGCAAGCCUGGGAAACGGGGCUCAUGCCAUGCUUCCAAAAGCAAUGCCCGUGCCAGUACUGCACAAGUGCCCGCUCUCCCCCCGCAUGCCACCUCUGGGUCAGGAAGCUGAUCGUCCAGCUACCAUCAACUGCACAGAAGACAGGGGUGUUCCUGGGCAGCCAGAACAUGACAAAUGUCCACCCGAGCCUCUUGCCCAGACUGUUCACCAAAAAGACACCCAGCCUCUUGCCAGUCCUGUGAACUCCUGGCAGAGAUGCCUAGACUGUAAAACCUCCCUGAGACCCUGACACACCACAUCGACCGAGGGGUGAGGUGCCCCCAUACCCAGGAUCAAGUGUCAUCUCCCGCUGGCAGGAGGCGUGAGGAGGACGGGUCUCUUGAGCAAUUGUCCUAAGCGUCCCCUGUCUUCCUCCUCCGUACACCGGGCUGGCAAUGCCCUUCCACAUGGCCCCGCCCACAGGUACGUUUCCACACACAUGGACUGGAGCUGAGUCUGCCUUCCUCAUCUCCUGUGAGUGACUGCUGUAUCCGUGGCCCCCAGGGGACCUCUCACCACUCACAGUCUGUCUCCCCUCCCAACUAAAUCUGGACAGGUCUUGGGACUUGCUUGACCAGGGGAACAUGGCAGAAAUGCGGCUGCACCAGUGUCUUCAGAGGCCUGGAAGCUUCACGCUCUCUUGGAACCCAGAGGCCAUCUGUGAGGAAGCCAGACCAUCCUCUGGGAGGGAAGGCCGUGUGCACAGCUGCGAGAGUGGUCCUGAGCAGUCAUGCAGCAGCCCACCCUAGGGAGCCCACAGAACCAGGAGAAAUGGUAAGUCAUGAGUGUCGAGGCGGCUUAUUCCUCAGUAAUAGGUAACUAAACCCUGCUCCAACAUCCCAGCCUUUUUCGCUAGGUCUCCUCCAGCGCUGGUGUUUCCCAAGCAGCUCUUUGCCAGGGGCGGGGUUGAGGGAGCAGCCAGUUGUAGCAUCUGCCCAUUUCUUGGUGUAAACAUUCCUGUCAUGGAUGACUUCAAGCCAGCCACAAGACAGGCAGAAACAUGGAAAUGAGAAGGAAUAUGGCCAUCCUCAUGGGGAGAUGGGGAGCAGGUCCGGUACCCUGCCGGGCUCUCCCUCCAGCACAGCCAGGCCUACACAGAACGAGGUCAGCGGCUCACGGACGGUGUGUAAGCUCCAGCAGGUAAUGUGGCAGUCACAAGCAUGGUUUUUGACCGUCACAGAGCUGUUCUGGGUGGAAAGAACUGAAUCUGGCUCCAAGCCCCAGAUCUCCGGAGCCUCUUCUCUCUUUUCUUCCUAUAAAGUGGUGGAGACGGGCUCCUCGGCUGCAGAACGGACGCAGUCUGCCUCGCACCCAUGAGAAGGCGGGAGGUGGUGGCCAGGCUCCAGGUGCAGGGCAGCCAGGGCAUUGUACUUAAGGCCAGAGCAAGAGACGAGGGGGUUCCAGGAGCCCCUCCAUCAGCUCAGCCCUGGGCUUCCUGAGGGAAUAUUGACCAGAGUCCUGUAUGGAACAGGAUGCCUACGUCCUGGGCCCGGAGGGAACAGUGCCCACACCAUCUGUGUGAAAUGGCUAGGGAUGUGGCUCAGGGGUUAAGUGCCCUGGGUUCAAUCUCUGGUACCAAAAAAACAAAAAAAACAAAACAAAACAAAAACAAACAAACAAAGUUUUUAUUUUGAGACAGGGUUUCACUAAGUUGCUGAGAGCCUCAUUAAGUUGCUGAGGCUGGCCUCAAACUUAUGAUCCUCCUGCCUCAGCCUCCCGAGUCACUGGGAUUACAGGCAUGUUCCACAAUGCCCAGCCGUAGAGCAUAUCUUACUUAUUAAAGGUGUUUGUAAAACACGGUGGCUGAAGAGCAUGGGAACAGCCUCCACUUUCUUAAUGAGUGUCCCCACCUUGUGCUGGGGUGGGGGGCCACCCUCUUUGUCACUUGCCAGCUGUUGCCCUUGGGGAAGUGCCAACAGAGACGGGUUGGAGUCCAGCCCCUCUGCCCUGCCCAGGCCUCAGGGACGGACACUGGGAAAUGAAAGCACUUUCACCUGGACACUUUGACAGUGGUGAGGGUCAGAAGGCCCAAGUCAUCUAAAGAAAAAAAAAAUGUUUGAAAACGAGGGGGAAGGGGUCUGCUCGUGCUGUUGGGGAGCCCAUGGCUGAGGGCCUGGCUGCAACCAGGGGCUUGAAGGAGCCAUUGGGCCACCAUCUCUGCUUCGCCCUCUGUUAUGCCACGGGUCUCUCCUGCUGCUGACAGACUCUCCCGGUGGCCAGACCUGUGGUCCUGGCGGGCAGGGACUCCCUCCAGCUCAUCACCCCUGCCAGUCCCAGCAGAAAUCCUUGGAGAAAGCUGGGCAUGGUGGUGCACACCUGUGAUCCCACUGACUCUGGAGGCUAAGGCAGGAGGAUGAGAGCAAAUUCAAGGCCAGCCUCAGCAAUUUAGUGAGACCAUAUUUUAAAAUAAAAAUUAAAAAGGACCAGGGGUGUUCCUCAUUGGUAGAGUGCCCCUGAGUUCAAUAAUCCCCAGUACCACUGGGGGUGGGAGUGGGGGACAGAAGUCCCAGAGUCUGGUUUCUGGCCAGGUCUGCCCUCAACCACUCACUGUGCCAGGAGGGAAGAAUUAUGUCUGUCUGGCUUGGGCCACCUGGUGGGAGGAGGGCCCAGUGGGGCCAGUCCUGGGCGUCCGCUGAGCCUUUCUGCGCUCAGGUAAAUUAGUGGACACAGACAGAUACCUGGGGAAGAGCCUGGAGCAGCUUCCCUGCGGCCUCCUAAUCCCCCAGCUCCAAGCCUGGGCCCACCAGCGGCUCCCCUGGUGUGUGGGUUUGUGUAUAAGACCUUCUUUUCAGGCAUCCAUGGAAUUUGAAGGACGUGCACACAGAUCCAGAGGUGGAGGCUCCUGGGUUAGGCAGAGUGCGAAGGUGGUCUGAGGCCCUGACUAAGCUCCUCCCUUGUGAGGGUUGGGGGGACCUGUGACUCGCCUCUAGCCAAUGGGGCAUGCUAAAUGUGAUGUCACUCCCCCAAUCGGCUUAGGCUCUUCCUAGGGCCCUGAAGAGUGCUUCCCUGUCGUGCUGCCCACAGACAGGACCACGUGGAGGCUGCAGGCCAGCUUCAGGACCCAAGGGUGGCUCCAGCCCACGGCCGCCAGGAGAGGACAAAUUUCUUCCUAAAGGCCAGGGUGAGAGCGCAGCCCACCGACAGCUCUGCCCCAGCUGGAGACCCAGCUAGGCGGGUCCAGACCCCCACCCCAGGAGCAGAGAGAUGGCAGAUGUGUGUUGUUUUAAGCCACUUCAUUUCAGCUGAGAAAACUAGGGCAGCCCCAUUUUUCCUGGUGGAAGUCACUGCAGGAGCCCCCAGACUGUCUCCCAGGCUCAGCUUUGCGCCUGCUGGCCAGAUGCGCAUGCGUGGUGGGAGGAUGGCCCCAGACUGCACGGGAAUGGCACAUUCCCCUUCUUAAGUCCCAGCAAGGCCUCCUCUUGGUCUCCAACGGCCAGUUGUCACCUGAGGACUGUUGGGGUCAUUCCCGUCAUGCUCCAGGCCUCCUGAUCACCCAUUCUUGUCCACGUCUCUUCUCCCCAAGGCCUCCCCCACGAACACCCCCUCAGCCUUUCUUUCCCUCUCCCCUUCAAUGCUCAGCUCAAGCCUGCCUGGGAGGCGGGGUCUGACCCCAGGGCUCCUGUUUGCCUCGGGUGCCCCCUGCUCCUUGCAGCUCCUUUGGCCUGGAUCCCACCUGCACUCUGGGUGGUGCAUUGAGAGGGCAGCAAGGGUGCAGGACAAGCUCAGGGCUGGCCCUCAGCAAGGGCCUGUUGAAAUGAAUUAAUGAGGACCACGUCUACUUUCUGGAUGGGGUAGGGUCAUUUUGCCUUCCGUACCCCUGAAGGAGGAGUGGGAACCCCCAUGAACGGGACCAUUUGGGGACAAAUGCUCUCAAAGCCCACUCCCAGUCGACCUGAGGGCACCGGGAGUCCACCUGGCACUUGGAUGCAGAGGCUGGGGAAGCCCACCCAGGCUGUUUGAGCUGCUCCUCGGCCACCUCUUUCCCACCACAUAGCACACAUCCUCUCAUCCCAGGAGGGGAAGUGGAGGCUGGCCAGAGAGGAGCCUGUCUCUGCAGGUCACCCACUCCCCAUCUCCCCCCGCCGCCUGCUGUGGUCUACUAGGGCAGUUGACCUGGGUGUGCCCUCUGCAGGGGAAGUCCAGCCCUUCCAGUGGCCAGGGAGGGACUUUCUCAGAGCAAGAGCAAAACAAAGCCCUCAGGGAGCCCCUGUGUGACACAGAGCUCCCAGCACCGGCUUCCCACCUGUCCCCUCCCAGAGGAACCUGCCAGCCAACAGCCCUCCCUUCCCGACUCCCGUGCUCUGUGAACUGGAGCCAGGAAACCAGAGGGAUGGGAAUUGAAUGGUCUCCAACCCCUGCUCCCAAACAACUGAGCCGGAAAGUCUGACCACGCAUCUAAAAGGCAGUUCUCAUCAUAGGACGGUUUGCUCUCAAGGGACAUCCUGGGACCACCCCAGCUGAAGUGGCUGCCAGCCUCGGGUGGGAAAUGGGUGCUAUCUCAUUCACCAGGGAUCCUGAGGUGCCUCCACCUGCCCCAGAGGGUAGAGCACUUGCCUAGCUUAUGCAAGGGUUCAAUCCCCAGCACUCAAAAAAAAAAAAAUUCAGUGAAGCAGAGGCAAAGUGUGUGUGUGUCCCAAUGUGUGGCACACCCUGUGGGACAGACAGUGGUCAACACGGUAGCUCUGUGCUUAUCUUCAUCAGUGCGUCUUAAUAAGCUCCUAUUUCCCAGUGCUAAGAAUGGUGUUUUGGGAGUCUGUGGCACGAAUUUAGAGCAUGUUAUUAAUCAAGUCCCAAAUGUAUAAGGGACCAACUUCACUGGCAAAUUCUUCCUUUAUACAUCUUUUUUGAGCAAAAAAUGUCUGUCUGCACAGGGUCCUGGCCCACCUGGUGCUCUCGUGUUGUGGUGCAGUUAGCUGGGGCUCCACCGAGGGGCCCUCACUCAGGUGUCUGUGGGAACAGCCCAGCAGCCCUGGUGCCCUGCCACAUCUGUGCAAGCACCAGAGUGUCCUCAGAUCUGGGGUCAGGCCUGGGAUCAACAAAACUGGGGUCAGGGGUUCCAGCCUGGAGCAGAGCCAGGCUGACCACUGGCCCCCAUGUCGGCAGUCCUAACAGCCCUGGCCACUCGGAACACCCUGUGCAUCCCUGAGGGUCAGCCUCACACGGAGCAGCCGGUGAGCCACGGUUGAGGCUGUUUCUACCAGGUGACCUCUGUGAGGCAGGAGCAGCCCAAUCAUGCCUUGAGCAGCUGCCCACUGUCCCCAGAUCUCCCUCCAGCCCAGCUUGUCCUCCCCACUCCCUGUGCCCAGGACUGCUGCCACUCCUCUAAGACUCACCCCCUGCUGCCUUUUUGGGUGUCUGGCUGGAUGCAUGGGGUGCACAUCCUUCCAGCCCCCGACUUCCACGUGCUGAUCCCAGAGACCUGGACGUGGUGAAGACAAAUGUCAGCAGNGCUCCUGGGUUAGGCAGAGUGCGAAGGUGGUCUGAGGCCCUGACUAAGCUCCUCCCUUGUGAGGGUUGGGGGGACCUGUGACUCGCCUCUAGCCAAUGGGGCAUGCUAAAUGUGAUGUCACUCCCCCAAUCGGCUUAGGCUCUUCCUAGGGCCCUGAAGAGUGCUUCCCUGUCGUGCUGCCCACAGACAGGACCACGUGGAGGCUGCAGGCCAGCUUCAGGACCCAAGGGUGGCUCCAGCCCACGGCCGCCAGGAGAGGACAAAUUUCUUCCUAAAGGCCAGGGUGAGAGCGCAGCCCACCGACAGCUCUGCCCCAGCUGGAGACCCAGCUAGGCGGGUCCAGACCCCCACCCCAGGAGCAGAGAGAUGGCAGAUGUGUGUUGUUUUAAGCCACUUCAUUUCAGCUGAGAAAACUAGGGCAGCCCCAUUUUUCCUGGUGGAAGUCACUGCAGGAGCCCCCAGACUGUCUCCCAGGCUCAGCUUUGCGCCUGCUGGCCAGAUGCGCAUGCGUGGUGGGAGGAUGGCCCCAGACUGCACGGGAAUGGCACAUUCCCCUUCUUAAGUCCCAGCAAGGCCUCCUCUUGGUCUCCAACGGCCAGUUGUCACCUGAGGACUGUUGGGGUCAUUCCCGUCAUGCUCCAGGCCUCCUGAUCACCCAUUCUUGUCCACGUCUCUUCUCCCCAAGGCCUCCCCCACGAACACCCCCUCAGCCUUUCUUUCCCUCUCCCCUUCAAUGCUCAGCUCAAGCCUGCCUGGGAGGCGGGGUCUGACCCCAGGGCUCCUGUUUGCCUCGGGUGCCCCCUGCUCCUUGCAGCUCCUUUGGCCUGGAUCCCACCUGCACUCUGGGUGGUGCAUUGAGAGGGCAGCAAGGGUGCAGGACAAGCUCAGGGCUGGCCCUCAGCAAGGGCCUGUUGAAAUGAAUUAAUGAGGACCACGUCUACUUUCUGGAUGGGGUAGGGUCAUUUUGCCUUCCGUACCCCUGAAGGAGGAGUGGGAACCCCCAUGAACGGGACCAUUUGGGGACAAAUGCUCUCAAAGCCCACUCCCAGUCGACCUGAGGGCACCGGGAGUCCACCUGGCACUUGGAUGCAGAGGCUGGGGAAGCCCACCCAGGCUGUUUGAGCUGCUCCUCGGCCACCUCUUUCCCACCACAUAGCACACAUCCUCUCAUCCCAGGAGGGGAAGUGGAGGCUGGCCAGAGAGGAGCCUGUCUCUGCAGGUCACCCACUCCCCAUCUCCCCCCGCCGCCUGCUGUGGUCUACUAGGGCAGUUGACCUGGGUGUGCCCUCUGCAGGGGAAGUCCAGCCCUUCCAGUGGCCAGGGAGGGACUUUCUCAGAGCAAGAGCAAAACAAAGCCCUCAGGGAGCCCCUGUGUGACACAGAGCUCCCAGCACCGGCUUCCCACCUGUCCCCUCCCAGAGGAACCUGCCAGCCAACAGCCCUCCCUUCCCGACUCCCGUGCUCUGUGAACUGGAGCCAGGAAACCAGAGGGAUGGGAAUUGAAUGGUCUCCAACCCCUGCUCCCAAACAACUGAGCCGGAAAGUCUGACCACGCAUCUAAAAGGCAGUUCUCAUCAUAGGACGGUUUGCUCUCAAGGGACAUCCUGGGACCACCCCAGCUGAAGUGGCUGCCAGCCUCGGGUGGGAAAUGGGUGCUAUCUCAUUCACCAGGGAUCCUGAGGUGCCUCCACCUGCCCCAGAGGGUAGAGCACUUGCCUAGCUUAUGCAAGGGUUCAAUCCCCAGCACUCAAAAAAAAAAAAAUUCAGUGAAGCAGAGGCAAAGUGUGUGUGUGUCCCAAUGUGUGGCACACCCUGUGGGACAGACAGUGGUCAACACGGUAGCUCUGUGCUUAUCUUCAUCAGUGCGUCUUAAUAAGCUCCUAUUUCCCAGUGCUAAGAAUGGUGUUUUGGGAGUCUGUGGCACGAAUUUAGAGCAUGUUAUUAAUCAAGUCCCAAAUGUAUAAGGGACCAACUUCACUGGCAAAUUCUUCCUUUAUACAUCUUUUUUGAGCAAAAAAUGUCUGUCUGCACAGGGUCCUGGCCCACCUGGUGCUCUCGUGUUGUGGUGCAGUUAGCUGGGGCUCCACCGAGGGGCCCUCACUCAGGUGUCUGUGGGAACAGCCCAGCAGCCCUGGUGCCCUGCCACAUCUGUGCAAGCACCAGAGUGUCCUCAGAUCUGGGGUCAGGCCUGGGAUCAACAAAACUGGGGUCAGGGGUUCCAGCCUGGAGCAGAGCCAGGCUGACCACUGGCCCCCAUGUCGGCAGUCCUAACAGCCCUGGCCACUCGGAACACCCUGUGCAUCCCUGAGGGUCAGCCUCACACGGAGCAGCCGGUGAGCCACGGUUGAGGCUGUUUCUACCAGGUGACCUCUGUGAGGCAGGAGCAGCCCAAUCAUGCCUUGAGCAGCUGCCCACUGUCCCCAGAUCUCCCUCCAGCCCAGCUUGUCCUCCCCACUCCCUGUGCCCAGGACUGCUGCCACUCCUCUAAGACUCACCCCCUGCUGCCUUUUUGGGUGUCUGGCUGGAUGCAUGGGGUGCACAUCCUUCCAGCCCCCGACUUCCACGUGCUGAUCCCAGAGACCUGGACGUGGUGAAGACAAAUGUCAGCAGUCAGGUAUGUGCAGCUCCAAAGCUCUUCCUGUCACCCUACGCAGCCAUGGAGAGUGCCCAUGGAAUUGGGCUUUUAGGGCCAUGCCUGCUUCUGUAGGUUAUCCCAGAAGACCCAGGCUGAGCUCAGGAGGCCUGGCCCCCACUGCCAGCAGGAUGACGGGCCUACCCAGCCUCUCCGCCUCUUCCUCUGCUUACCUGUGGAGAUAACGGCCUCUUCCUGGGUAAUCAUGAGG